UGGGGUAUAGCCAAGUGGUUAAGGCACCGGUUUCUGGUACCGGCAUUCCCAGGUUCAAAUCCUGGUACCCCAGCCA
This 76-nucleotide transfer RNA is filed under the name Chromohalobacter sp. Its description in RNAcentral is "tRNA-Gln". It matches the Rfam family "tRNA". From Rfam's summary of the family: Transfer RNA (tRNA) molecules are approximately 80 nucleotides in length. Their secondary structure includes four short double-helical elements and three loops (D, anti-codon, and T loops). Lineage: Bacteria; Pseudomonadati; Pseudomonadota; Gammaproteobacteria; Oceanospirillales; Halomonadaceae. The record is from RNAcentral. RNAcentral also lists the same sequence under 2 other names.